Non-coding RNA from Podarcis lilfordi (Lilford's wall lizard), 74 nucleotides. Lineage: Eukaryota; Metazoa; Chordata; Lepidosauria; Squamata; Lacertidae. The record is from the annotation of a GenBank genome assembly.
GCCUAGAUAGCUCAGCUGGUUAGAGCACGGUGGUGAUAAUGCCAAGGUUGCAGGUUCGAACCCCAUAUGGGACA